Filimonas lacunae is the source of this 37-nucleotide regulatory RNA element. It matches the Rfam family "DUF805b RNA". From Rfam's summary of the family: Bacteroidetes, Chlorobi (1 example), Proteobacteria. Lineage: Bacteria; Pseudomonadati; Bacteroidota; Chitinophagia; Chitinophagales; Chitinophagaceae. The record is from Rfam.
AAUGGGAAACGCCGAAAACCAGUUAAAAGAGUAGGCA